RNAcentral lists this long non-coding RNA (24633 nucleotides) under Theobroma cacao (cacao). Its description in RNAcentral is "long non-coding RNA (TCAC_LNC006069)". The stretch from base 4505 to 4550 matches the Rfam family "Histone 3' UTR stem-loop". The record is from RNAcentral. Lineage: Eukaryota; Viridiplantae; Streptophyta; Magnoliopsida; Malvales; Malvaceae.
AUUUAAAAAUAAAAAUUUAAAUAUUGUUACAUACUUUUAGCCCAAUAAUAAAAAUAUAAAUGUUUGUUUUUUUAUUAAAAUUAGAUUUUUUUACUUAAUUAACUUAUUACGUUAACUUUAACACAUUUACGUUAAGAUUUAAAAUUUAGUUAUUAUACCUUUAUAAGUUUUUACGUCAAUUUUUAUAGUUUUACGUCAAGGCUUAUCUAUAUUAAUUUUGAACUAUAAUUAUUUUUAUCAUUAUUAUUCUUCAUUUAAAAAUUAAAAUUUGUAUAUCGUUAAACACUUUUAACUGGAGAAUAUAAGUUUAAAUAUUAGGUUUUCACUGAAAUUAGAUUUUUUUUACUUAAUUAACUUAUUACGUUAACUCUCACACUUUUACAUUAAGAUUUAAAAUUUAGUUAUUUCACCUUUAUAAGUUUUUACGUCAAUUAUUACAGUUUUACGUCCAGGCUUAUCUAUGUCAAUUUUGAACUAUAAUUAUUUUUAUCCUUAUUAUUCUUCAUUUAAAAAUUAAAAUUUGUAUAUCGUUAAAUACUUUUAGUCCGAGAAUUAAAUUUAAAUAUUUUUUUCACUAAAAUUAGAUUUUUUUACUUAAUUAACUUGUUGCGCUAACUCUCACACUUUUGCGUUAAGAUUUAAAAUUUAGUUAUUCUACCUUUAUAAGUUUUUAUGUCAAUUGUUACAGUUUUACGUAAAGGUUUAUCUGUCAAUUUUGAGCUAUAAUUAUUUUUAACCUUAUUAUUCUUUAUUUUAAAAUUUAAAUUUGUAUAUCGUUAUAUACUUUUAAUCCGAGAAUAUAAAUUUAAAUUUUUUUUUUACUAAAAUUAGAUUUUUUUCACUUAAUUAACUUGUUACGUUAACACUCACACGUUUACGUUAAGAUUUAAACUUUAACUACUCCACCUUUAUAAGUUUUUACAUCAAUUCUUACAAUUUUACGUCAAGGCAUUUCUAUAUCAAUUUUGAACUAUAAUUAUUUUUAUCUUUAUUAUUCUUUAUUUAAAAAUUAAAAUUUGUAUAUUGUUAAACAUUUUAGUCUAAGAGUAUAAAUUUAAAUGUUUGUUUUUUAGUAAAAUUAGAUUUUUUUUUACUUAAUUGAUUUAUUACAUUAAUUCUAACACAUUUACGUUAAGAUUUAAAAUUUAGUUAUUCCACCUUUAUAAGUUUGUGCGUCAAUUCUUACAAUUUUACAUCAAAGUUUUUCUAUGUCAAUUUUGAGCUAUAUUUAUUUUUAUCCUUAUUAUUCUUUAUUUAAAAAUUAAAAUUUUUGUAUCGUUAAACACUUUUAGCCCUACAAUAUAAAUUUAAAUAUUUAUUUUUCAUUAAAAUUAGAUUUUUUUUCUUAAUUGACUUGCUAUGUUAACUCUCAUAUAUUUACGAUAAAAUUUUAAAUUUAGUUAUUCUACUUUUACGAGAUUUAUGUCAAUUCUUAUUAUUUUACGUUAAGGAUUUUUAAUCAUAACUUUUAAAAACUUUAUGUCUAGGUUUUUUAAUGACAACUUUAAAUUACAUGUGUUUUUAUUUUUGUUAUUAUAUAUUUUUAAUUUUGACUUUUUGAUUUAUUAUAGUGAUAAUCCUAUUUAUAAUAUGAUAUUUCAGCCAUUAAAUAAAAGCAAUGCAAAUAAACGGUUUCGAUUAAUAAAGCAUAAAAAGAGAGUCCAUUAAAGGAAAGAUUUUUUGUUUACCGGUUGAAUUUGUUUACCAGUUUCUUGAUGGGUUUUAAAUCAAUUGUUGCAAUUUAAUCUCAUAGAUCUUAUGGUCUUUAUUAAUUGACCUUACAAUAAGGUCAAAAAUAAUUACCUUACUGCAAAAUUUGUCAUAUCAAAGGCAUCAUUAAUUCGUUAUCCUCGAAAAAGAGCUAUACAAACUGAUUAUUUAAAAAAAAAAAAAAGUCCAAACCUAGCCCAUUCGGCAUCUACCAUGAGUUGGGGCGAUGACCUAAAAGAUGAAAAGGAUGACACUAAUCACCCAUAGAACGGCGAAAGUGAUCUCCUACUUGAUAGCAACCACUGCGAUGGCAUCUCAAGGUCCUAAGUAUUAUUAAGGUUUAAGUCUUUGGGUCCUACUCUUUCUUCUUUUUUGCAAAAACAAUGGAGAUAGGAAGCAUCGGAUGAAACACAUAUAGUUCUAACCUAGUCGGGUUGAUCAAAUCGCCAAUGCUCAGACCAAGCACAUGGGGCAAACCUGAAAAAGUGACUUCGGGGCCUCAGUGUUAAGACGAAGUAAGAUCCAGUUAGUAGGGGUUUAAGCUUUUGUCGAAGAGUUCCCGGUAAAGUUAGCAAUGAAUGUCGGCUUAUAAAAAGUGAUGCUGGUGGUGGCAAUGGCGGCGGAGGUUGCUUUUGCUUUGGAUGUUUGUUGGAUAAGUUUAUAAUAUUUGAUCGUCUCACAUUGGAAGAUAAUUAUUCAAGAUGUGUCUGUUUAAAUUAAAACAUAAAUUUUGAAUAAAUAGAAGACAUCUUUUCAAUAGUUAUAAAAAAAGGAAGAGUUUUCAAUAUAGGCAUCAACCUUUAAAAGCAUUUUGUAAUAAGUUUGUUGUAUCUUGCAGAAUCUUUGUCUGCAAAUCUCCAUAGUAGGCAACAACUAUUUAAAGAAAGUGUGUUACAUCAUGCCUCAAGUUCUUUUCCUCUCUUCUUAUACUAAUUUUCUAACAAUAAAGAGUAGUUGGUGCAAAAGAUGUGUGUCAUUCUUAUCAUACAUUAAGGUAUAAUAAUGUCAAUAUGUAAAUACCAUCAAGGUCCAUAUGAAAGGUUGACAUAUGGCAUUCCUAUUAUAUAUAAAGGUAUAAUGAUGUUUAUGUAAAUACCAUCAAGGUCCAUGUGAUAGGUAGGCAUGUGACAAACUUAUUACACAUGAAGGUGUAAUAGUGCCAAUAUGUAAAUUUAACAUCUUUAUAUAUAGUGCAUUCUUAUUUUAUCAUCGAAGCCAUAAUGGUGCAACAUAGAUAUUCAACAUCUUUGACUUGACAUUCUAAUUGUGUAAUAAAGGUACAAUGUUGCUUAUGUGAACAUAUACAUUGAUGUAUUAAUUUGACAUUUUGAUUAUACAUGAAGAUACAAUGGUGUCAAUUGAGAAAAAAAGAUUUUCUUAUGCUAGUUAGAUAGCUAAUAUUGAUGACAAUAAAUUCACAUCAUAAUCGAUUUUUACCUUAGGAGGUAGUGCUAUUAAUUGGGCAUCUAAGAAGCAAACUUGUAUUACACAUUCCAAAAUUGAAUCUGAAUUUUAUAGCAUUAGCAGCUAUUGGAAAAGAAGCGGAAUGGAUGAAAAAUUUGUUAUUAGAUAUAAAGUUGUGGCCACAACUAAUGCCAGCCAUUUUCAUAUAUUGUGACAAUGAAGCAAUAAUAUGUGUAGCCACAAUAAGAUUUAAAAUGGUAAGUCUAGACACAUAAGUUUACAGCAUAACUACAUAAGACAAUUAAUCUCAAAUGGCAUUAUAAUAAUAGUUUGUGUUAAAUCUUGUAAGAAUUUGACUGAUCCACUUACCAAAGCUUUAUCAAGAAAGGCUAUAAAAUCAACAUCUAGUGAAAUGGGGCUAAAACCCUUGACUUAAAUGCAUUAGUAAUAGAAACCCAACUUUGAGUUCGCAAAACUAACAAUAAAAGUUCAAUGGGUAAUAACAAGUUACUAUAUAUUGUUAUUAUGCACUAAAUUUUUUAUAUUAAAUAGCCUCAUUCUAAAAUAUUCAAUGUGACUGUUAUGAGGAGAGGAUGAGCAAAAGGUUUUUAAUGGCAAUGUUAAAUGCUUGUAGUAACAAAGACAUAAUGAUAAAUUCCACCUAUAUGAAUAUUAAAGUGAUGCCACUUUAAAUAAGAGUUACAAGGGUUUACUCGGGUAAAUAUUCAUGAAGUAAGAUUAGCACAAGGCCAUAUUAGUGCUAAAGUAGUUGGGAGAAUCUUAAAAGUGAUUAAAUAACGUUAUGUGUGAUAUUUUCGAUUAUAACAUAAAGAGUUGUGGUUCAAUCCCUAUGAUACCAAUAACUUUGUCUUAACUUUAAAAUUUCUAUGCUAGUAGAAAGUUCAAAUCUUCAAGAUACUUUCUAUUAUGCAUAAUAUUAUUAAUAUUACAAACUAGUGGUGGAUUUUUAGAUAGUUUGUAAUAAUUGGCAGUCUCACAUUGGAAAAUAAUUAUUCAAUUGUUCAAAUUAAAACAUAACUCUUUAAAUAAGCAAAAGUGUUUUCAACAAACACAACUAUUGAAACACAAUAGGCACAUCUGCUAAAACACAACAGAUACAACUUUUCAGUAUCCAUAAAAAAAAAAAUGGAAAAACUUUCAAUAUAGACAUCAACCUUCAAAAUUAUUCUGCAAUAGGCUUGUUAUAUCCUGGAGAGUCCUUGUUUGCCUUUAAAAAAAGUGUGUUACAGCACGUCUCAAGCCUUUCUCUUCUUUUCUUAUACUAAUUUUCCAACAAUAUUUCUAUUUCUGUGGUAUUGCUCUGGUUGUUUUUUCUGUUGCUGGACUUGGGGAACACCAAGUCGGAUCCAAAGGCAGACCCACAUUCAUUAGAAUGGUGUCACUUGACACCACUCAAUUAGACAAAAAUAUUUAUUUAUUAUAUUACUUAUUUAGAGUUUUAUAUACUUUAAAAUACUAAUGAACCCAUUAAUUUUUUUAAAAUUUUGUAAGGAGUGGGGUCAAAAAAUAGAUUUUAUUAAAAAUCUACAUAUUAAUAAUACUUAAAUAUUAUCAAAAAGUAUAUUUAUCAAAAUGUAAUUUAUAUAUUAAUAUUUAAAUACUACAUAGAAAGAUAAAAAAAUUUCUUUUCAUAAUUUAAAAUUUUAUCAAAAAAGUCAAAACCUAAACUACUCUUCCUCUCAAAAAUUUCAAGACUUGCUCUUGAGACCCGUAAUGACUUUUUCUCAAUCCUUGGUUGUAAUUUUUAUUCUCUCAAAACAACUCAACUAGGCUUCAAUUGUAAGUAAUUUUCAACCUAAAUUAAGUUUUUAAAUACUUCAUGUCUAAGUAUUUUUGAUUAAUUUGAUAGUUUAGGUUCACAAUUAUAAUCUAACUAAUGAGAAAUAAUAUUGCAUGUCAAAUAAUAUUUUAAAUUAUGAGUUAUGUGGUUUGUGGAUGCUUAUAUUUAAUUUUGAUCAAUGAAUUAAAAAUUAUCAUAUUGUUAGUUGUUGAAUUUGUUAAUGUACUAUGUAAGAUCAUAUUUUAUUUAAUUCUAAUAUUAUUUGAUAUAUUUGAUAGUGUUUCUACUAAAGCUAUAAUACAAUGUUUUCGAAAUAUGAAAAAUUGUCAUAGAUAAUUAUAAUUUUUUUAAAUAUUUUUAUUUUAAAAUAUUAAAUAAAUAUACUGAAUUUAUAUUUUUUAAUUUAAUAUUAACUUUUAGUUUAUAGAUUUUAAUAAAUUUAUUUUUUUAAUUAUGACAUUAGUCAAAAAAAUUCCUGAACCCGUGUCUGGUCGGAUCUCCGACUUAAAAGGAACAGCUCCAGGUUUCUUGAAGGAAUCAUCCACUGCCAUUGUUCUUUCAGACGGAAAAUAACUACCAAAGUAUAUAUAAAGAGUAAAAGCAAGCUGAUAAAACAAACUUUCAUCAUCUAGAGUGAGUCUGUCUAGGUCUUUACAUAUAGUUGGGGUGGCAGCUAGGGAUGAAGGAAAAGCUUAGUCUCGGCGGGAUUAAAGGCAUGAAGGUGGGGCUGGUCCAUGCACGUAUUUGAGUUUUACUUAGGUCCAUUCGAGGCAGGGGCGGAGCUAGCUAAUUUUUAUUGAGAAAGUCAAAGACUAAAAAAAAUAAAAGUUAAAAAUUUUUAAAAUUAAUAUAUUAAACUUAAUUAUUAAUAAUUAAAAGAUUUAAAAUAAACAAUAAUUUUAUAUAACGUGUAAAUAAAAAAAAAACUUAUAAUAGUACUCUAGAAAAGUUUUGUUCGAUGAUGGUAAUAUCUUUUUAAAUAUAAACAACUAAAUUAUUUGUAAAAAACUUAUCAUUCAUUUUAUUUCGAAGUCUUCUCUUUAUCGAUAUAAACGACUUAAAAAUUAAUCUAGUCAACAUCUAAUAUUCUUAUUUUAUUAUAUUUAAGUUUAUAAUACUAAAUAUUAAACUAUAAUGCAUAAAAUAUAAAUAGUUAAAUAUUAUAUACAUAAUUAAUAAUUUUUUUUAUACUCAAAAUAAUUUCUUUUCAACUAAAUAUAAAAUGUAAAGCACAUUAAAAACAUAUACUCGAUAUAAUUUUUUCUUAUAUAAUUAGGAUUAAUAAAAAAUAAUAUAUUAGUGAAAUUUUAAACAACAACCAAUAAUGUAACACUUGAACUUAUAUUUGAGAAUUACAUAUACAAUAAUUAAUUUUUUAAUUUUUAAAAAUUAAAAUUAUUAAAAAUAAAAUCCACAUAAUAGAAAAAAAUCAUGACGAGUAGGAGAUAUAACUUAUAUAACAAAAAAAAAUAUGAUUGAUGAUUUGUAGAAAUUUAAAAUAAAAAAUCUAUAAAAACUUAAAAUAUAUGAGCAAAUAGAAUAUAAUUGAAAAAACUAAAUAAAUAUAAAUAAUAAUAGUAAUAUAAGUAGAAAAAAUUAAAUAAAAACUUUACCUUUUUAUAAUUUUACAAUACAAGAACAGAAAAGAAAAAAAAUAGUUGGAGAAACUUAAAAAAUUAAAAAAAAAUUAAAAAUUUAGUAAAAUUAAAUAGAAUUUGUAAGAUCAUUUUAUUAUUUUUUAAUUAUAUUAAUUAUUUUUAAAAAAUUAUUAAAAAAUAUAUAAUAUAUAAAAAAUUCAAAAUUUUUGGGGGGCCAUUCCAAAGGGACGCUCCGCCCCUGAUUCGAGGCCAAACCAGUCUCCAUCAUAAAAACAGAAGACAGUUGAACGAGGCAGAAGAUUCAAACAUGUGUCAAUGCUUGAGCUAGACUUUUUCAGCAUCCAAUUCGAAAUCACAGGAGGGGUUUUCCUUUGAUUUGGGUUCAGAUGGAGCAUAGAGCUCUGGGUUUUUGAAUUGUCAAACUAUUAGAACGGUAAAAAUUCUAAAACCAGUUUGUUGCAAGGGCUGGUGUUAGAAACAGAGACCAACCUGAUGACUGCCUAGCCAGGCCAGCUAAGUGCGAAUGUGCAAUGGAGAUUUGAAAUUUUGGGCUCCAGCUCCACCCAGACAUUAUCAUAAGAGAUGCACUACUGAUGUUGUGCUCCAUUCGAAUAUAUUUGUCAUGAUAUCCCUCACGCAAACGAAAAGUAACUUCGAUGGUUCAAAUGGAAAAGUCUUAUUACUCUCAGUUUUACCAUUAUGAUAGCAACAAAAGUAAUUUGGUCCCCAUUCAUCAUCUUUUCAUUGUACUAAAUAAGCAUUGCUGUUGUGAAUAAUACUAUGAGACAGGAUGCAAAUUGGAGUGUCAAGAACACAUUGAAUCAGCCUACGCAACUUUAGCAUUAGAUUAGAGAUCAAUUAAAGAGAUCAAACUUAACAUACAAGAUCCAUGUAAGACUAAGUAACAUGAGACUCAAAAGAUGGGCCCAUCUUUGAUAAAUAGCAGGCAUAACACAAUAGUUUGAAAAGCCGUUUCGUUGCAAUAUAUUACAAUCCAAAAAGUUGAACCUUUACUUGUCUUCAAAGGCCCCUGCAUCCCAAUCUACGCUGUCCCCUAACUUUCAAAACAGAAUUCUUGUCGCAUGUUACACAAAGCUCGCAUUGUGUUGCUGGCCACAUCCAGCAGCUGCAAGUACUCAUCUGCACCAUCCCCUAGACGCUUAUCUGCCUCAGCCAAACUCUUGCAAAUUUUAGCUUUUUGUUCAUCUGGUAUAUCAUCUGCCUCAACAACCACAUCAAAUAACUGAGAAAGCAUCUGAGAAACCGGAAACCCUUCUGCAAUUCCAUUAUUGACGUCCUUGUUUGCCAAAUCAAAGUUGCCGCUUUUGCAUGCAGCAUAAAAUGCCUCAACAACUUCUUGAGGGGUAAUCCCAGAUACACUAAGUAGGGCCUUUGAAGAAAUUGUUGAUCCAAAUAAGCGAGCAGCUCCCUGCAAGUAUGUAUUAAACCUCAGUAGUUCUUAUAUCCUUUUUGCCUCUUACACCAUUUUUUUAUUUUUAUACUAACAAUUAAGAAAACAAAAUUUUGAAUUACAUAUCAUUAUUCACAAUUUAUCAUAUUGGAAAAGAAAUAUGCAGACACAACACACAGACAGAGAAAAACCUUAAAAAUAACAAUCAAACUGCAGCAAAGACUUUCAAUGAAAAAAUCUCCACGGAUGGGAUGUAAUGAACACACUAUUAAACAAACAAGAAGGCCCUUGAUUCUAUUUUCCCUGUAAUGGAACUUGCAUUAAUUCAAGUUAAAAAAGGUACACCUAAACACAUAGCAGGGCCAUGCCCUCAUCCCAGAUUCAUUCUGUUUGACAUAAAACUAAAAUGAGUUCGGGGUACUUACAAGUACAAAUCAAAUUUCUCCUCUGUAACCACCAGAACCAAAAUAAUCCCUUCUAGAACUUGCAAUCGCCAUGCUUUUCUGAUGCUCUAACUUGGGGCAAUCCCGGAUACGAUGGCCCAACCCACCACAAUAAGCACAACCCUUUACACCACUUGCGUUGGUGAUUGCAUCCACAUCCUCCAUUGGAUCAUUCAGCUCAGCCAAGACGGGUGGAAUCCUCUGUUUGGCUUCUUGCAAAAGGUGCUUCAAAUCAAGCAGGGUUGUCUCACUCUGGUUCUUAUUUAUGAAUGUGGUUGCAAUUCCCGUUUUACCACAUCUUCCUGUUCGUCCUAUUCUAUGGACAUAGUUUUCAAUUUCAGCAGGCAUAUCAUAAUUGAUCACAUGUUGAAUAUCAGGAAAAUCCAAACCCUUUGAUGCAACAUCAGUUGCGACUAAGACAUCCUUCUUGCCAGCUUUAAAGGAUGAAAUGGCAUACUCUCUCUCUUCUUGGUCCUUGCCUCCAUGAAUGGCCACAGCUUCAACUCCUUUCAAGAGGAGAUAUUCAUGAAUAUCAUCCACAUCAGCCUUAUUCUCACAAAAUAUUAAAACAGGCGGAGGGGUUUUUUGUAGGCAUUCAAGGAGGUAGACUAUCUUUGCCUCUUGCUUCACAUACUCGACCUCCUGAAUCACAUCGAGAUUUGCAGCUCCUGCUCUUCCAACAUUAACAGUAACUGGUUUUACUAAAGCACUUCUGGCGAAGUUCUGAAUUUUGGUAGGCAUAGUUGCAGAGAACAAAAGGGUUUGCCGUUGGGCUUUAAAGUGGUCAAACACUUCCCUGAUGUCAUCUUCAAAGCCUAAAUCUACUAGUCUAUCUGCUUCAUCCAAUGUCAAGUACCUAUAGAAGAAAAACCAAUUGCUUAAGUAUCAUUAUCUAUCCAGAGCAAAAACUUUUUGAUCUAAAUGGCAUACAUAUAAUCUAUAUAUUUUGGGCGUAAAAAGGCCAGCUGUAACAGAUUCAACACAGUUGAUAUCUUUAAAAUUAAGUGCAAGGAUAAAAAACAAUGCGGAAGCAACUAACAUUCCAUGAUAGCAGACGUAUAAAGAGAUAUCUAAAAAAAAUGAGCAGCAACAGAAAAAAAAGUACAAAAUCUUUUCCCAAAAAGAGAACUGCCAAAAUGUUAACAGGCAAACCAAAAGUAAGCUAGCUGUGACAAAUACAACACCAUACAAUAUCUUUCAAAACAAAUGCAAGAAAAAUUGCAAAACAUAGCAGAAGUAAAGAGCGCUACAUAUUUCACCAUAAAUAUACAAAGCACUACAUAUCGGCAAAAGUACUUAAGAGAUAUUAAAACAAGUGACAAAUGAGUUAACAGGCAAAACAAAACGAACUUGCUCCCCCAGCCCCCACCAAGCCUCUAUAAUAUUUUAGCAUCUCUGUUCCUGUCAAUGCAUACAGCAGUAGCUUAAGUUGCCACAAACAACUAAAUUCAAAUAUAUACUGCACAGAUAGUCAUGAGACCAAAUGUAGCAGGUUAGUUAAUUCACAAUGCUGUUAUUAGAAGCGCUGAAUUAAUAAUCAUUACCUGCAAUUGUCUAAAUUCAUCUUCUUCUUGGCAAGCAUAUCCUUCAGCCUCCCAGGAGUAGCAACAACAAUGUGAACCCCUUUCUUCACAACAUCCAACUGGGACCUCAUAUCCACACCACCAAUACAAAGCAAUGGUCUGAGCUCUGGAUACCCAUUUUCCCUCAUAGGUACCAAAAACUGCUCCACCACUUCAUAUGUCUGCCUAGCAAGCUCCCUUGAAGGACAGACAAUCAACCCAAAAGGGCCUUCUCCUGGAAGUAUCGGCAUCAUCAUCUCCUCCUGCAAUGCAAUCAUAAUCAGUGGAAGCACGAACACAAGCGUUUUUCCCGACCCUGUAAACGCAAUCCCAAUCAUAUCUCUUCCUGACAAAAUCACAGGCAGCCCUUGAACUUGAAUAGGAGUCGGCUGCACAAUCCCCUUUGCCUUCAACUUCUUCAAAAUGGGAUCCGGAAACUUCAUGUCCUUAAAAUUCUUAAUAGGAGGUGGAAUAUCUUCCCCGUCAACAAUAAUAUGCCAUUGUUUCCAAAUCAAAUCUCUCUCUUUUUUCAACAUCCUUCGAAUAUGCAAAGGUGGUUUCCAUCCAGUCAACAAAGGCUCCGUAUAAGUAAUCCCUUUUGCCAAUUCCCGGACUGACAUCAGGGUCUUUCGAUCCGAUAAAUGUUCAAUCAUCUCUUUCUCCUGUUGUACAAUUUGUUCCAUUUGACUUAUUUCAGGUUGGUCCUUCUUGAGCUGGGUUGCUUUUACAAGCAAACUAGGUUUCACUUCAGCAAGAUUGGAUUUUUCAUUCUCAUCUUCAAGUGCAGAUGACUUGCCCUUUCUUUGUAGGAUUUUUUGAGCUUCCAUGGCUCGGCGUUUUGCAACCGGAAUAUACUCAACGUAAUCAUCAUCUUCCUCCAUUUUUUAAUUUUCUGCAUUACCCAAAAAAAGCCCUAAAUUAUGAUGUUGAGAUUAAGGCUGAAAAAUGUUUAAUUAAAAAAAAAUUGCUGAAGUAACAAGCAUAAAACCCUCAUAUUUUUCUGUGCACUCUAUACUGAAACAUAAUAAUCAGCUGCAAUAUUUCACAAAAGCAAAAUAAUUGCUGCGACAAAUGAGAUGGAAAGUGCAUAAAAAAACAGAAAACAGAAAAGCCCUAAUGACCAUUCAGGUAAAAUGCCAUGAUAAGCAAAAUGAACCGAAACAUCUACCAAAAUGAAUUAGACUAAAAUCGACAGCUGAAAACAAAAGUAAAUUAUAUAAUUUCAAAAAAUAAGACCUUUCUGGGUUUGCUACUUACCCUGCUAAUUUGCUUAAACGAAUAACAGACUCUGACACCGGCGGAUAGGAGACUGGAUGUGGAACAAAGACAAGGCACAAGGCAGUGGAGGCGGACGGGCAGUGGAGGAAGACGGCUGCAGGACGGCAGCUUGGAGAUCGGAUUUGCUUUAAGAGAGCGGAGUGAGCGGAUGUGAGGAACAGAGAGAAAGAGAGACGAGGAAAAUAAGAAAUUUUAUAUGUUGCUAACACCUACACAAAAACCUAAAACCAACACCCGCUCUGGCUUUGAUUGAAUUCAGUCUUACUCCAUUUUCCUUUCCCACGCAACAAGAAAGAAAACAUCAACAGAUGCGGCAAACCCCAGCUAAACAUAAUCCAAUAAUGUGAAGCUAGGAUCUAUCUAAUCCCUUCAAAAUCACCAAUCAUCACCACUCAUUAAAACAAAAUGAAACACCUUUUGGAAGAACAAAAACACCCAGAUCAAAAAUAACACAUUCAAUACAAAAUAAAUCUAUUCCAGAUUCAAUUUAGCAAAGAUUAUUUAUUUUUCAGAUCACUUAUUCCAGAAGAAAGAAACAUGAAUGCGUAAAGAAUACAAACAAAACUAAAAUUAAAUGAGAAUUAUUGAAUUAAAAUUACCUGAUUGAAUAGAUUAUUAGAGAGAGAAAGGAAAAUAUGUUUUUCUAUUUGGAGACACAGAGGUGGGUGGUACGGAUAGGAUAGAUUUAGAGGUAUUUAUAACGUUUUUAGAGUGAAGGAGACAACCGUGGCUAGGCUUUUUUAGAAAGAGAGGAAACAGGCGGCAGGAGGAAGGGGAAGAGAAGAAAAGAGGAAAGGGAAAGAAAGAGGAAGCCGCUACCAGAAAGGCCUAGACCGGACAAGGCGACGGCGACCGAGUAAGGGAGAUAGGGUUUGGAGAAAGGGGUUGGCUGCCGCUGGUUGGGGUCAGUGGGAAAAGAAAAAGAGAGCAAAAAUGAAGAAAAGAGACAGGGUUGACUGCUUGGGUUAGGUUAAAAGUUUAUAGGACAAUCAAAACCACGUCGUUUUAUGGAUACAAGAAGAAGAAAAAGAAGAGGUGUGUCGGAUUCACCCGAGUUCAACCCGGUUCAAGUUUAGGCACAGUGCAUUUUAUUUAUUUAUGAAUUUUUUAUGCAUGAAUUAAAUUUUUGAAAUUACUUUAAGAAAGAGAUAAGAAUAAAAAGUCAAACAAUUUUUUUGAUAAAUAAUAAAAUAUGAAAUAAUUAAUUGAAUAAAAUUAAUAAUGACUUGCCAAAAUUAUUGCGAGAUUCCAAAAUUAUAUUCACAAGGUUGAUUAAUUCUGAAUAAUUAUAAACGCAUAAGAUAAAAAAAGUAGUAAUUAAAAUUGAAGAUAAUUUACAAAAUUUCAUCUUUAAAAUUAAAAAAAAUUAAUAUUCCAUAAUUAAUAUUCAUUUUAUUUUGAUUUUAAAAAAAAAUUCAUUUUAUUUUAAUAAUUUUAUUAUCUAAUAAUUAUGUAACUUAUCAAUAAUUACUUUCAAUAUAUUACAUUUUCUCAAUUUUAAUUUUAUUUCUAUAUUAGAAUAGUCGUAAUUAACAAAAUAUGAUUAUAUUAAUAUUUGCAUAUAUUAAAAUAUAAAAAAUCAAGUGUUUUCAAAAAUUAAAAAAUAUUUAAAUAACAAAUAUUGCUUAAUAAGACAUGGGACAAUAUUUUAAAAAUAGUGAUAUUUUUAAAUAAUUAUAUAUAAUUUAUUAUUACUACUACUAUUAUCUAUAAUAUUUUCAAAAUUAAAAUUGUUUCUUUUUUAUUAUUUUUAUUUUAUUUAUAAUAUUAUGUAAUUUUAAAUUAUUUUUUAUAAAAAAACGACUCGUACACAAAGCAAGGCACCACUCUAAUUAAUUAAAGAUGUUUUUAUCUAAAAAAAAUUUUGAUCUAUUCAAAACGUAUAAUACUAGGAAUUACUAUUCUCCCUUUAAAAAAACCUAUAAAGUCCGACCUUAUAAAAUACUAUUCAUGACAUACAUGUGAUGAUAGCAUGAUUGCAUGCUAGGAGAGUCUCGAAAAAUUUACAAAAGUCGGUAUUGUACCUAGAGGUACAACAAAGUUUAUUUAAUCCUCGAACUAGAUCAAAUAGGAAUUUUAAGGUGAGAUUAAGAGUUUCACAGUUCAUGGAUGACUUAAAAUGGUAAUUUGGAGUUUGAGGAUCAAUUUGGAGUCAAAUCGGAAUUUUCACUAACUAGGGGCAAAAUGGUCAUUUGCCACCUGGGGACAAAAUGAGAAUUUUAGAAAAGAUUUUUUUGACCCCAUUUGACUUAUUAGAGUAUAAUUUGACUUAUUGAAGUAUGAUUUGAGGUUUAGAAGUGAAAAAUUUUAAUUUCGGUAUAAUUUGGAGUAAAAGGGUAAAAUGGUAAUUUUGCCACCUCAGGGGCAAAAUUGUAAUUUUCCACCACCAGGAUAUUUUUUCCAGCACAUGGUCUUCCUUUGUCUUCAUCUUUGACCCUUGACUAAACAUGUGGUGGAGAUAAAAUGUUUAAAUUUUUAAAAUUUUAAAAACGGGCCAAUGACAUGAUGCCAUGUGUCAUGCCUUUAUUAAUUUAUUAUUUUCCUUUUUAAAAGGCACAAAAUCAGCCCAUCUUCCACCCCAUGGCCGGCCAAACCAGCAAGAAGAGAGAGAAAACAAAAACAAAACCCUAGAGAGAGAAAAUCAAAGAAAAAGUGUGAAUUUUCAAGGAAAUUAAGUGAAAAAGGUGAGUUUUUUCUAUUAAGCUUGAGUUUUCUUAUUCCCAAGCAUUUCUCUUUAUUUUCCAUGAUUAAAUUACAUGUUUUCAUGAUGAAUUCAAUUCUGAAAAAAUGGGUUAGGAGAGAGAAAGUUGUUGGAUUUAUUUGAUUUUAAUUUAUGUUAGUGUUUUUAGUUAGUUUAGCAUAUUUAGAAACAAAACAACAAGAAAAGAAUUUAUUUUCUCCCCCAACCAUUAAUGGCUGAAUUUACCAUGUAGUGAGUGAGGAUGAGUUUGAUUUUAUUCUAGGAGAAUUGGUUAAGGAAUAAUGAAUUAUGAGCCUAGAAAAAUAAUGGGAAUUUUCGGAGCAAAAAUACGAAUUUUUACCCACUAGGGGUAUUUUCGUAAUUUGCUGUUGGGACUGAUAAUUUGCACCACACUGAGGGACAUUAAGUUAAUUUGGGUGCAAUUGAGGUAUAGAAACUGAAAAGAAUUAAAUUGGAGUUUAAACGGACCCGUUAGGAAUUUAAUCGGGUGAUAAGACGAAUUAGGCCAAUACCGGGUUUAGAUAGUUACCAGUGCAUUUUUGCAUUCCAUAUCAUGCAUUGGUAGUCUAAAUUAGUUUAAUUUUGAUUUAGUACCAACUUGGUGAAACUCUCGAUUUUGUACUGUGUCAAGGUGGUGAGUCCUCCGAUAAAGGCAAGGAAAUUGCAUCCGAGGACCAGUAGACAGAGUGCUUCGAAAGUCUGCAUUCUAGACAUUGUGAGUAAACUUACUGUCAUUUUAAUUAUCUAGGGUGGUUUUUAGAUGCUUUCAUGAAUUCUAUGGAAAAAGGAAUUUAAAAAGAUAAAUUUUCAUGUUUUAUGAAUAAAUGAGUUUCAAUGAAAUUAAAUUAUAAAUUGUUUUGAAAUUAAUAGUGAUUUUGAAAAAUAGAGUACACGGAGACUGUUAAUUGUGGCAAUUUGAUUGUUUAAAUUAACUGGCUUAUGAUAAAUCGAGCAUGAUUGGCUAGUUGGCAAUUGUAUUGAAAUGCGAAUUGUUUGGUUACCUUGAAAAACUACGAAUUACAAAAUUGCCAUAUCAUGUUAUUGAGUUUUAUUAUAUGGUGGAUUAUAUAUUAAUUAAUCACUGCAGUAGGGGGUUUCUGUGGACCAGCCUUUUAGAGGGGCACGGUAAACCCCAUUAUAUUCUUACCUCGAACGGAGAGGCGCGUAGGGUAUCUCCUGGGGUAAAGUUUAGGGUUCACUUCACGCUAAACCACCACGUGAGGGGGAACUCAGCCAACGCCAAGGAACGGCUAUGUUUUCAAAACAAAAACAUGAUUUAUGUGAAAUGUGAAUUUUAAUAGCCUUGGCGGUCUCGGUAGGAUGCCUCGGCCAAGGUGUCCCCGAGAAUGGAUUUAUGGCACAAGCCUAGAUUUUUAUGAGAUUCAUAAGCCUCUUUACGUGUUUUGAACAAAAUGUGUUCUAAUGCUAUAACCCAGUUUAUGAUGAUUUACUUUAUUGUCUCCAUGUACUCAACUCUAGAUGUUUAUGAUGAUGUUUGUUUACUCAUUGGGAUUUUAUAAUCUCACCACCCUCCUUUCCACCCAUUUCAGGUUCAGUAUAGACUGUAGAUAGCUGAUCUCAUCGAGGACUACAGUGGGAUCUGCAUUUUCCAAACCGUAGGUUCACAGUCCUCUUUACUUUUGUUUAUUCGGGGGCCCUCUUGUUAUUGUAAAUUAAAUUAAAUAUUUUGGCUUACUGUAUUUAAGUAUGUAUAAAUUUAUUUAGCUUUUACGCUAUAAAAAUUAUUCACGUAUAACUCUAUAAAUAUUGUUUUAUAAGAAAAUAGAAUAUUUUACUUAAUAUUUCUUUUGUUUUCUUAUUAUAUUCAAAUAACCAUAAUUUCGUUUUAAAUGAAGAUUUUAGACUUUUAAACUCAUUUUGAAUAUGAAUUAUGUGUUUUGUAAUUGUAUAUUACGUUUUAGCCAGUUUCGACAUUUUUGAGAAAAAUGACUAAAAUACCCCUAUGAGAUAAAAAAUUAAUAUUUUAUUUGUUUAAAGUUUGAAACAGCUUAAAAUCUUUUAGAACACGAUAUUUGACAAUGGUUGCUCACAAGGGAACAGAAAAACUGAUAGUAAAGCCUUGCGGGAUUUCGGGUUGACAUUCCGGGCAAUGAGUGUCUCCCGGGACAUCGCGACGGUUGUCACGGGCUCGAGGGGAGUACCGGGUCGUGACAAAACCAAACACUAAAAUUCCCUUUAUGGUUUCAUUUCCUAGGAAUCAAACAUGGUCUUUACAUAGUUAUACAAUAUUAAAAUUAAAUUAGCUAAAUGCUUAAAUUGGAGUUAAACAUUUGGAUACUUUUUCAAUUAAAGGUCAAAUAUUUUCAAUUUUUUACAAUUAAGGGCUAAGUUGACAAGUGAAUGGAGGUUGUAUCACACAUGAUAAAAAAUCAUAUUGAAAAUAUAAUUAUUAUACGUCAUGUUAAAAUUUAGUUAUUAUAUAUCAUAUUGAAAAUUUAAUUGUUACACGCCAUAUUGAAAAAUGUUAUUGUUAUACGUCAUAUUAAAGAUUUAGUUGUUACAUGCUAUGUUAAAAAUUGUAGUUGUUACACAUAAUGUUGAAGAUUUAGUUGUUACACAUCAUGUUGAAAAAUGUAAUUAUUACACAUCAUGUUAAAGGUUUAAUUGUUAUAUACCAUGUUGAAAAAUUUAAUUAUUAUACGUCAUGAUGAAGAAGUUGUUACACAUCACGUCAUAAUUUGAACUGUUUUAACUUGAUAAAAAAGAUUUUUUGACAAAACUAUCUUUCAGUAUUUUACCAUUUCAAGUUAACAUUUACAUCAUGCGCAUAUCUUUCGUGCACUAAACACCUUUCACCUUAGUCGUUAAUUGUAAAAAAUCGAAAACAUUUAGUUCUUCAUUGUUACAAUUGAAACGUUUGAUCUUAAAUCGACAAAAACCUAACAAUUUUGACCAUAAAUUGAACAUUUAGUCAAUAAAGUCGAUUUGGUCACGAAUUGAAAAGAAUAAAAAAAAUUCGAGAAAGAGAAAUGGGUUCUGGGUUGAAGCCCAAUCCAAAUUUCCACCUUUAACCCAGUUCAUUUGGUCAAGCUCAAAAAAUCAAAACACAAUUAAAAAGUGGAAUAUUUUUGCUUCAUUAUUUAUUUUCACAUUAUGUUUUAAAAUUAAAUUAAUAAAAUUGUUUAAUUUAUUCAAUAAAAAAUAAAAUGAUUAUUUAAAAAAAUUUAAAAAUGAAUUUUUAAAAAAAUCAUAAGUAAUAAUUUUUCGAGCAAUUUCUUAAGUGAACAAAAUCUUGAAUUUGCACCAAACGAGCUGUGAUGCUCUACAAUUAUUCCCAUAAUGUGACCUAAGUCUAAAUUUAAAAUAAAUGAGAAUAAAAGAAUAUUAAAUUUUUUUAAUAACUUACCAAUGUGAAUCAUUAUAGGUAUUUGUUUGUAUCACAUUGAAAAUAGGAAGGAGAGAAUUGAUUUUGACCCAAUGAAGACCAAUCAUUGUUGGAAAGGAGGGAUGGACUUCGUUAGUGCUUUGCCAAUGAUGGGGCCGGAUUCGACCCCUUGGCUAGUAAGAGGAAGAAAGAAAAAAGAAAAGGAUAAGAGAAAACUGUGAGGAAAAUGGGCUUGGGAUUUUUUUUGGAAAAUACAAUUUUAGUCUUUGGGUGUAAAAAAAGAUAUUUUGCGCCUUUUUCUUUGAUUUUUUUUUGUCAAAAUACUUUAUAUAAGAGUAUUUUUUUCAAUUUAAUCCCUUUACUUAAAAUUGUAAUAUUUUAGUCUCUUCAUUUUAUGAAUUGCUUCAAUUAAAUCUCUUUCACAUUUUUCGUUUAAAUUAACCAUUAUGAUAAUGACAUCAACGUUGAUAUAGUGUUGAGUUAGCACCAGAUGCUGACGUGGCAAUAACACAUCAGUGUGUCAGGGUGACUUGGCAUUGCCAUGCCAUAAAUUGGAUCUGAGUUGCACGUGGCACACCAAAAGGCUACCACAUGGCACAUCAAUAUGUUGACACGUGGCGCAUUAAGAGGCUGACACAUGGCAUUUUAAUUCUUGAAAACAAGACGUGUGAAAGGUUGCCAUGUCAGUGUUGACAUCAGAUUUGUAAUGGUUAAUGUAAACGAAAAAUGUGAGAGAGACUAAAUUAAAAUAAUUUUCAAAAUGAUAGGACUAAAAUAUUACGAUUUUAAAUAGAGGGAUUAAAUUGAAAAAAAAUACCCUAAUACAGGAACUUUUCAGAUAUUUUGAUCAUUUUUUUCCUAUAAAAGCUUUCUUUUCCUAAAAAAGUUAUAAUUCAAAAUAAUAGAGGAAAAACGUUAUCAAGUAUACAUGCUUAAUUCCUUACAAAGAUAAGUGUCUUGGUUGAAAAAAAUUUCCUAAAAAAAAGGUAUAUGCCUUUCUUUUUGGUAAUCUUUUUUCUUCUAAAUAUUUACAAAAAAGUUAUGUCUAAUAAUGUUAAAAAGUUUAAUAAAAAAUAAUCACGAAUACAUUAUCAGUUUAUCAUUUAUAUUUUUAAAUUGAUUAAAAUAGGUGUAGAUCUUUGGUAAGAGAGAGAGGAAAUAAAAAAAUAUAAUUCUUUUUCAUUUUUUUAAUUUUUUCUUAAUUUUUUCCUUUUUUUUUAGAUACUUAUGAAAUAUUAUAAUACCGACUGUUCUCCUUAGGCUAGAAAAAACCAAUUAAAAUAAGAUACCACAAGCAAUUCCCACAAAUGCCAAAAUGGAAAUUCCGAUGACAACGUCAUUUGUUAUAGUGUGUCCUCGUAAUAUAAUAGCAUGAGAAGAAAAAUUUAAAAGUAAUUAUUUGGAAUAAUCAUAUUUAACAAGAUCUAAUUAUCAAUCACACUUAAUUAAAAUUGAACGAGAACACUAUAAAAUUUUUUAAUAGCUUUAUGUUCCACAAAUUUCAUGUUGAAAAUGAGAUAAGAAAAUUCAAAUAUAGAUAAAACAUAUUAUUAAUCAGAUGUAAAAAUACAAUCUCUAGAAAUUCUUUAAAAUAAAAAAUAAUAAUCUUUUGGUUCUUUUCUCCAACAAAAAUCCCCUUCUAGAACCUUGAUGGCUUGAUCUUGAACAAACAAAAUUGAUUUUCUUCCUUUUGCUAGAAUAAGUUUCAAGAGCAAUUUUGAUACAUGAUUUGUGUUUGAAAAAUUCUUCAAUUAACUAAUUAAAAUAAAUUUUAAAAGACAUAUGAUAUCUUGUAAUCCGAUAAAAAUUUCUUGUUCUACGAAUGCCCCUUCAAAACUUGUUCUUGCUUGAUUUUGCUUGUAACAAGUGAGCAAGUCUAGAAAUUCAAUUUAUUUACUUACACUUUUCAUUUGGAAUGAACUUUUAAUGGACAAAAAAAAAUUCUUUUCCUAGGAUAUUUUAAAAUCCUAGUGUGCCUUGGUUUAAUCUUGGUAGAUUUGAAAUUUAAUUUUAAUUUAAAUAAUCCUUCUAGGCAAUGGAAUUAUAGUUUUGACAAUGUUGUCUUGCAAUUGGCAAUGCACUCCUUAAUUAAUUAGGAGAAAGACUUUUGCUUUAUAAAAAUAGAGUUAUUUUGCCAAUUUUCUUCACAUCAAAAUCUCAAGAAUGUCAUUAAGAAUUCUUUUGUUGUUUAUGCAUCUUUUAUACACUUAUGACUAAAAAACAAGGGUGUCAUUAAGAAUUCUUUGAAAGUUGGUCUACAACCACGUACACCCUCCACAUGGCCUCUAGAGAAGCUUCCAUCUCAUAAUGAGAUUUACAUAAAUUGGAUGGCCUACCUAUUCAUGAUUAGUGUUAUGAUGAGUUAUCUCAUCUGCUACAAAAUUAACUAGUGCUAAUAGUGAAGGGAGAUUCCUUCCAAAAAAUUGUUUGUAUUUAUUUCCCAUCUUUAAUUAUUUAAAUGAAAGAAAAAAUAUUUAUGAGGCUCUAUUGUAGUGAAUUCUACCAAAAAAGAAUAAUGCAAGCAUAUGAUAAGAAAGUUCACUCUUGAUGCUUUCAAGAAGAAGAGCUAGUUUUGAAGAUGAUUCCCCCUAAUCAACAUGAUUGUCAAAGAAAAUGGACGACAAUUAGGAAGGUCCAUUUGUGAUGAAGAAACGAUUUCUGGGUGAAGCAUUAAUUUUGAUAGAAAUGGAUGAAAAUGAUUUGCCAAAUCAAUAAAUGUCAAUACAAUCAAGAAGUAGUAUGCUUAAAGUAAAAAAACACCAAAAAAGAAAAUGAAAGAAAAGAGGAGAGGUUCAAGUUGAAACCUCUAAAGGGCAAUUUGAACCCAAAAAAAGGUACCUAAGUUGAAACCUUAAAAGAGCACUUAAGUAUGUAGUGUUAGAUGUCGAUCUUAGCAUAUGCUUGUGAUUGUGUAAUUGUGUAACUUAUGGAUUUCAAAAAAAUUUUAGCUAUGGAAAUAAUUUAUCCAAUUUACACAUGCAAAAAAUCACAAUCAUACAUCAUGUGAAUCAAAUAAUAAUCGCAUUGAUAUUAAAGAAUCAAAAGUAAGAAAUGUUACCUACUCCGUGCUAGAAAUAUAUUUCAUUCUUCUUUUCUGUGAAUUGUAAAAAUUCACCACCACACCAAUUAUUAGAAAUUUUGACCAAUUUAAAUUACUAGUUAUUCUUCAAGAAUCUUUCAAUCUUGAAUCUAGAGUGGACUGGGUGUAGAAUACUUUUCAAGAUGGUAACUAAAUUAUUUUCUCUCAAUUUCUUCUAUAGCAAAUUUUCUUUAUGUAAGGCUUGUAGAAAAUUGCUAAUGGGAGCAAAAAGUAAAAAUAGAGAGAGAUGGAGGAGUACGACUAUCACAAAAGUGUGACUAGGGUUUUGGCCAAAAUCACAUAUUUAUAAUAUGCUUUUCGGUCCCAUUAAAAAAUAAAGAGAUAUUUCUCUUUUAAAACUCUUUUUAAUUUAAUUAAUUAAAAUUAAUUGAUAUUUAGCAUCUAUAAUUUAAUUAAAUAAUAAACUAUUUAUUUAUAAUUAUUAGUCCAUGUCAAAAUAGGAUUAUUCAAUUUUAUUAUUAUCGAUCUUUAAUUGGAAAAAUUAAUAAUAUAAAUUAUUGUGGCAGCCUUGGUGUUAAGAGGUUAGAGAGACAUCGAAUGGUGCUUGAGAAAUUUGAAUAACCACAAAGGUAAGAACAUGGAAUGCAAUUUCUACUAUGAUGUCUUAAAUACGGUUAAGAGAAAUAAUUAUGUUAGUUGGAAAUUUUGAAGCUUAUUGUGAAUACAUUGUUGCAAAAGAUCUAAGAGAUUUAAAAUUAGAUAAGGAAUUCUAGAAUCUAGAUUGAUAUUGGUGUAUAUGAAUGGGAGUUUGAUACUUCUUUAGUGGCAGCACAUUAAAUAUGGAAAACGGUGCAUACAAGUUUAAGAAAUUAUUUGUAUAAUGGGAUUUUAAGUUGUUGCCCAUAUAUGUGAGUGAUUAACUGUAAAGAAAUAAUAACUAGAGUAUGAUGUCUAUUACUAGGAAAGAUUGAAAUGAACAUUUGAGGUUAUGUACAAAUUGCUAGACACAUACAACCCGAAUAUGACACUAAGGAUUCAGUAAAAAUAAUUAAUUCUUGAAGACAGAAUAUUAAAGUUAUGAAUUUAUUGACUAGCAGCAUGUGUAAAGUAGAAUGGCAUGGAAGUUUAUUAAAUGCUUUAGAUAUAAUUGAUGCUAGGGAGUUUGACAAAGCAAUGGCUUGUUGCUGUGAACCGAAGUUAAUGUUGCUGCGAGCAAAAGCUAACGGGAAUAAAGGACAUAUAGAAAAUAAUAUUUAUAGGCUAAGCAUAUAAAGAAGUUAAUAUUGGUGAGAAAUUCCACCAAAAGAGGUGAGUGGGGGUACUUAUAUCAAAAUAUUCCCUAUUAUAUAUAAAGAUAUAUAUAUAUAUAUAUAUAUAUAUAUAUAUAUAUAUAUAUAUAUCUACAUGUGAAUGAUUUAUGCAAUGUCAUUGUAGAAAGCAUGAGCUAGUAGGAAAUUAUAGGUGAAUUGUGGUUGAAAUUGUUUUUAAUUUGUUUUGAAUAUACAUAUUAUAUAUACAUAUAUAAAUAGAGUGUUUUGGAAAAUCGAAAACAAGCCUUUCACAAUGAUUUGCUUCAAAUUAUGCCUUGCAUAGUUGUGCGACUUGCAUAAUUACUUGCAUGCUGUAAAUGGUCAGAUUACAUGAUUAUCAUGAUUUGAUUUAAGUCUAAACUUUUAUACAUGCUAUUUUACACCAUGCAUUACAUGUGGAACAAAAUUUAUAAUUGGUGCCACAUAGACCUGACAAUUCGUGUUAACAUGUUGUAAACGUGUUAGACACGAUUAGACAUGAAAUACAUUAAAGUUAAACACGAAUAUGACACGUUUAAUAUUCGUGUCUUAAAUUUACAACACGUACACGUAUAUGUUUAAUACACGUAUAACACGACACGACAAGAUUAACACGUUUAUUAAACGUUUCAAUAUACGACACGAUAUGAUUAAUAACACGUUUAAUAUGAUUAAAUAAAAAUAUUUACAAUUAAAUAUAAUUUUAUUAUUUAAAUUUAAAAUCUAUAAUUAUAAAAAUAAUUAUAACAAAACAAAAUUAAUAAUAACAUUAAACAAUCACCAAAAGUUAAAAAUUAGGGUUGAGCAUGUAUAAUUACAUUAUACCUUUUAUAAAAUUUAAAAAAAUUUAUUAAAAUAAUUAUUUAAAAUUAUUUAUAUAAGGUUAAAAUAGUUUUUAACUAUUAAUUUUUAAUAAAUUAAUAAAUGUGUUACGUAUACACGUUUAAACACGAUAACACGAUUAAACACGAUUAAAUAAACGUGUUUAAAUGUGCUUUAAACGUGUUUGUCAUGUCUGAUACGUUAAAAUACGAAAAUUUUCAUGUCUUAACGUGUUAGACACGAUUAGAUACGAAACAUGUUAAGACUAAAUCCAAAACCUGUUUAACUCGUAUAUUUUCAUAUCGUGUUAACGUGUUGUGUUCAAAAUUGUUAAGUUUAAUGUCACAUCUUUCUUUUAAAAAGGUUGAUGAAUUGAAUACUUCAAAAACCUUGUACUGUUUUGGAAGUUGUAAUUUUGUUAAAUCGUAAUGAUCGAGAGUAAGUACUGUUGUCACAUCAACUUUUGUAUGAUCCUUGUGUAUAAGUGAGCUCUAAUUAAAGAUUAUUUUGAAAAAACCGACAAGCAUGUAUAUAUGUGGCAAGGCCAUGGAUCGUUUAUUUGUGGAUAGGACCACAAGUUAUGACCAUGCUGCUCUUUUAUUGGCCACCUUGAUAGAUAGUGUACUACUGGCAAGGGAAGUAGGGGGAGAAGGCCCGAAAUAUUAUUACGUUGGAAAAGACCCAUGGUAAUGACCCACUCGAAAGCAGCACUUAUCUUUAAUUUACGAUUUUAUUUUCUUGCAUGGUGCAAUAUGUUUUAUUUUUCGUAGCUCCCUUUUAUGAAAAAGGUUUUGUGCACGGUUGAGCACAAGUGCACUAUCAUGUGGAUGCAUUCGGAAUAGUUUUACAUGCCACACUUAACGGGAGCGAGCACAUACAUGAUCUGCCUUAUUGUAAAUACAAAAUGCACCUAAUGUUUCCUUUGGUUGGAAUCUAUUUUAUUAAAUCAUGCAUUAACUUAGAUGUCAACUUAAAUUUCAAACUAGCCUUCGUAAAAUCUUAACUUAAACGUUAAUAACAUAAAAUAAACUUAGCAGUUCUCGUAAAUGAAGACAACUUAAUCUAAAAUUUAAAUUAAAAGAAUCUAACAUUGAUAAAUAAUAUAAAUUGUAAAAGUAUAAAAUAUGUGGCAUAAAAUACGUAAGGAGUGUCAUAACCAUACACAAACUAGAAUGCUUGCGCGUUGCGCUAGGAAAUUGUUAUUUUGUGGGUAUUGUUUGAAACAUUAUAUAAAAGUUUAUCAUCAUCUUAAAUAGAAGUUUAACUAUUUAUUUGAUGUUAUUAAAAUAAUAUAGUUGAACAAAUUAUUAACUUUAAUUAUGUAGUUGAUGUUAUCAUAACAGAAUAACUAACUAAAUUGUCAACAUUAAAGUAUAUAUGGAUGGUUAGAAAGUGUGUAAUAUUCAAUGUGCGUAAAUGAUAUAGGAUGCUAUCAAUUAUUAAAAAAAAAAGAAAAAAACGUUAAGUUUGAUACAUUGAAAACAGUGAAUAUUUGAAUAAUUGGUAACUAUUUGUGAGCAUUGUAUUGUAUAAGAAAAAAUUAUUUACAUGUACCUAAACAGUUUGAAAGUCAUAGCUUAAAAUUUUUUUUAAAAAGCCAAACCCAUUUAUAUUAGCAAAAAAAAUUUGUCAAAAACAAAAUAGCUCAAAAAUUUCAUGAAAUUAGAAAAUAAAAGAAAAAAACAAAACCAAAUCACAAAAUCAAAUUAAACUUCACAAAACAAGAAGAAAAAUAUAAACAAAAUAAAGAAUUUUCACAACAUUAAAGAAAAAAAAAAACCUCCAAAACCCAUUACAAAGACAGCAGCCUAAACAAUAAUUAAAAGGACAAUAAUCAAAAUACAAAAGAGUAAAAAAAUAAAGAAGAACACGACCUCAAAGAAUCAAAUAACAAAGAAAAUGAACAAAAAAGCACCAAAAGAAAUAAAGAAAACAAAACAAAACCAAAAAAAGAAAAGAACAGUGAAAAAAGAGGAGAAAAAGAUGAAAAAAAAAAUAGAGAAAGUGACAAAUGGGAGAGAGCGAAAACCUAGAGGGAAAAAGAAUAAUCUAGAAGCAUAUCAAUCAAAAAGACCAAAAUAACAUGACAAACAAAACCAAAAAGAAAAAAAAAAAAAAAAAAAAAAAAAAAAAAAAAAAAAAAAAAAAAAAAAAAAAAAAAAAAAAAAAAAAAAAAAAAAAAAAAAAAAAAAAAAAAAAAAAAAAAAAAAAAAAAAAAAAAAAACCUU